GUUGGAUCCUGGCUCAGAACGAACGCUGGCGGCAAGCUUAACACAUGCAAGUCGAACGGACAGUUAUUUAUAGCCUUGGCUAUAAGUAUCUGUUAGUGGCAGACGGGUGAGUAAUGCGUAGGAAUCUGCCUAGUAGUAUGGAAUAGCUAUUAGAAAUGAUAGGUAAUACUGUAUAAUCCCUGCGGGGGAAAGAUUUAUCGCUAUUAGAUGAGCCUACGUUAGAUUAGCUAGUUGGUAAGGUAAUGGCUUACCAAGGCAAUGAUCUAUAGCUGGUCUGAGAGGACGAUCAGCCACACUGGAACUGAGAUACGGUCCAGACUCCUACGGGAGGCAGCAGUGGGGAAUAUUGGACAAUGGGCGAAAGCCUGAUCCAGCUAUGCCGCGUGAGUGAAGAAGGCCUUCGGGUUGUAAAACUCUUUUAAUAGGGAAGAUAAUGACGGUACCUAUAGAAAAAGUCCCGGCAAAC
Molecule: ribosomal RNA, 466 nt
Filed under: Ehrlichia ruminantium (heartwater rickettsia)
Lineage: Bacteria; Pseudomonadati; Pseudomonadota; Alphaproteobacteria; Rickettsiales; Anaplasmataceae
Description: bacterial SSU rRNA
Rfam family: Bacterial small subunit ribosomal RNA
Source: RNAcentral